UUUGACACAGUCUUGCUCUGUCGCCCAGGCAGGAAUGCACUGGCACGAUCUUGGCUCACUGCAACCUCUGCCUCCUGGGUUCAAGCAAUUCUCCUGCCUCAGCUCCUGAGUAGCUGGGAUUACAGGCAUGCGCCACCAUGCCCAGCUAAUUUUUGUAUUUUUAGUAGAGAAGGGGUUUCACUGCAUUGGCCAAGCUGGUCUCGAACUCCUGACUUCAGGUGAUCUGCCUGCCUCGGCCUUCCAAAGUGCUGGGAUUACAGGUGUGAGCCACUGCGCCUGGCCUUGGCAUUGUCUCUUGUAUUGACUUUUGCCUCAUUCUUGCCUGCCCACUUCUUUGUUCUUUGGCCACAAGGACUAAUCUGGGACCAGAGUCUUAUUUUUUUAAGCCCAACAUAGACGGUGAAACUCUUCUACGUGCUUAUUUUCUGUCUUCCCAGACUCCUGAUGUGAAGGUUAAAGUGACUCCAUCUUGGAAGCGAAUCCGCCAUAUUGACUUCUGAUUAACCCCCUUUCCAGGAUUGACUCUCAGAUUUCCAGUUUAUCUUUGCUUCUUGUGUAAGAGCAUAUAGUUACCAUAAAUCCUGUCCUUAGAUCAAAUCAACCUUCAUAAACUCAUACUUCCCAUAAAUCCUACCCUUAGAUUAAAGUCCUUCCCAUUCCCUCUGAAGUCAGGUGUUCGAGACCAGCCUGACCAACAUGGUGAAACCCCGUCUCUACUAAAAA
RNAcentral lists this long non-coding RNA (723 nucleotides) under Homo sapiens (human). RNAcentral's name for it is "HSALNT0200817". The record is from RNAcentral. Lineage: Eukaryota; Metazoa; Chordata; Mammalia; Primates; Hominidae.